Molecule: ribosomal RNA, 458 nt
Filed under: uncultured bacterium
Lineage: Bacteria
Description: partial 16S ribosomal RNA
Rfam family: Bacterial small subunit ribosomal RNA
Source: RNAcentral
UACGGGAGGCAGCAGUGGGGAAUAUUGCACAAUGGGGGAANCNCUGAUGCAGCGACGCCGCGUGAGNGAAGAAGUAUUUCNGUAUGUAAANCUCUNUCNGCAGGGAAGAAAAUGACGGUACCUGACUAAGAAGCACCGGCUAAAUACGUGCCAGCAGCCGCGGUAAUACGUANGGUGCAAGCGUUAUCCGGAUUUACUGGGUGUAAAGGGAGCGNAGNCGGAUGGGCAAGUCUGAUGUGAAANCCCGGGGCUCAACCCCGGGACUGCAUUGGAAACUGUUCAUCUAGAGUGNNGGAGAGGUAAGUGGAAUUCCUAGUGUAGCGGUGAAAUGCGUAGAUAUUAGGAGGAACACCAGUGGCGAAGGCGGCUUACUGGACNNUAACUGACGUUGAGGCUCGAAAGCGUGGGGAGCAAACAGGAUUAGAUACCCUGGUAGUCCACGCCGUAAACGAUGANUA